This 301-nucleotide ribosomal RNA is filed under the name uncultured bacterium. RNAcentral's name for it is "partial 16S ribosomal RNA". It matches the Rfam family "Bacterial small subunit ribosomal RNA", at positions 509 to 807 of the family's 1533-position model. The record is from RNAcentral.
CAGUAGCCGCGGUAAUACAGAGGAUGCAAGCGUUAUCCGGAAUGAUUGGGCGUAAAGCGUCUGUAGGUGGCUUUUCAAGUCCGCCGUCAAAUCCCAGGGCUCAACCUGGGAAUGGCAGUGGAUACUGGCUCGCUAGAGUGUGUCAGAGGAUGGUGGAAUUCCCGGUGUAGCGGUGAAAUGCGUAGAGAUCGGGAGGAACAUCAGUGGCGAAGGCGGCCAUCUGGGACAACACUGACGCUGAGGCACGAAAGCGUGGGGAGCAAACAGGAUUAGAGACCCCAGUAGUCCCUGUCUCUUAUAC